GAGAGAGUGGAGUAAGUAGAAGCGAGAUGGUGAUUGGGAGUUUGAGAGAGAGGGAAGAGGGGGAGAGAGAGAAUGAGGGGAGAGAGGGGGAGAGGAAGAAUGAGGAGAGAGAGGAACGCAGACUCAGCCAAUCAACAUCCAGGAUCAAAACAGCCCAUUUUAUAAUGAACAAUGCAGACCUUUCCCUGUACACGCCAACAUCAUCUGCCAAGCUAGCUGAGAAUCUGAGGGGUUCGUCUGCCACAAACAAAUAUGGCUGCCCAAGAAGAGAGUCAGAGGGGGUCGUCUGCCACAAACCAAUAUGGCUGCCCAAGAAGAGGGCCCCAUGAGAGCAAGAAAAUCAAUUGUUCAUUUGAAUAAAGGAGCUUUCCUCACCACACUGAA
This is a long non-coding RNA of Anguilla anguilla (European eel), 384 nucleotides long. RefSeq lists it as uncharacterized. The record is from RefSeq and is a predicted model, not a curated record. The transcript has 2 exons. Lineage: Eukaryota; Metazoa; Chordata; Actinopteri; Anguilliformes; Anguillidae.